Molecule: long non-coding RNA, 413 nt
Filed under: Rattus norvegicus (Norway rat)
Lineage: Eukaryota; Metazoa; Chordata; Mammalia; Rodentia; Muridae
Description: long non-coding RNA NONRATT009870
Source: RNAcentral
AGAAAAACAUAGCUCUAAAUGGUGACUAUGGGAAAGAGUUGGAUGAACGAUGCAGGAGAGUCUCUGAAGCUCCUUCUCUCCCUGUUGUCUUCAUUGAUGGCCAUUAUCUUGGGAGAGUCCAGCAUCCACACGAGUGUCCCUCCUGUGGAGGCUUCGGCUUCCUUCCAUGCUCUGUGUGCCACGGGAGCAAGAUGUCAGUGUUUCGCAAUUGCUUUACGGACGCUUUCAAAGCCCUGAAGUGUACAGCUUGCAACGAGAAUGGUCUUCAGCGCUGUAAGAACUGCGCCUGCUAACUGGAUCUUCUGCCUAGAGAAAGCCUCAUUUCCUUAAACAAAGGAUAACAUUUGGCUUCUGCCUUUUUUAAAAAAAAGAAUGUCAUGUUUUUAGAUUAAACAAUAAAGUUUGUAUAUUAU